Molecule: ribosomal RNA, 238 nt
Filed under: Glomeromycotina sp.
Lineage: Eukaryota; Fungi; Glomeromycota
Description: partial small subunit ribosomal RNA
Rfam family: Eukaryotic small subunit ribosomal RNA (bases 40-238)
Source: RNAcentral
GGGUCAGAAGGUUGGUCGUGCCACCGGUACGUACUGGUCUCACUGAUUCCUCCUUCCUGAAGAACCGUAAUGCCAUUAAUUUGGUGUUGCGGGGAAACAGGACAGCUACUUUGAAAAAAUUAGAGUGUUUAAAGCAAGCUAACGCUUGAAUACAUUAGCAUGGAAUAAUGGAAUAGGACGAUCGAUCCUAUUUUGUUGGUUUCUAGGAUUGACGUAAUGUUUAAUAUGGAUAGUUGGG